GCAAGUCGAGCGCGAAAACACUUCGGUGUGAGUAGAGCGGCGGACGGGUGAGUAACGCGUAGGAAUCUACCUGGUAGUGGGGGACAACAUGGGGAAACUCAUGCUAAUACCGCAUACGCCCUAUGGGGGAAAGUGGGGGACCUUCGGGCCUCACGCUAUCAGAUGAGCCUGCGUAGGAUUAGCUUGUUGGUGGGGUAAUGGCCUACCAAGGCGACGAUGCUUAACUGGUCUGAGAGGAUGAUC
Molecule: ribosomal RNA, 243 nt
Filed under: uncultured bacterium
Lineage: Bacteria
Description: partial 16S ribosomal RNA
Rfam family: Bacterial small subunit ribosomal RNA
Source: RNAcentral